GUAAAAAGCAGGAACAGUGGAAUGUCAGCGAGCUGCAAUGCAGAGGGGAAGCUCCACCCCGUCGUUUGAUCUGAAGGCGUUUCAUCGCUUGGCGUGACUUCCUGCUCAGCGUCGGACUCAUCUCAGCAGACCACGACUUGGUACUCGUGCAGAUGUCGCAUUUCUUUUAUUUUUCACUCCAUGGCUGUUCCGUGUUGGAGAACGCAAAGCUGGAAGUGCAAGUAAAGAGGCUGUUGGACGAUGCAACACAACACAAAUCAACCAACUUUAUUCAUCCCACUGGAGACAAUCAGUGUUUGUCUGGAGCAGCUUGUUGAGCGCCAAACACAGUUACACGGCUUGGAGGACAAGGCAAUGACAUCAUCCAGGGUCUCGCUGUCGGUGGUCUGGAGAAACAAUUACAAAAUGCAGAAUAUAUAGAAAUAUAAGCUUUUUGUGAGUGGACGUGCUGG
This is a long non-coding RNA of Myripristis murdjan (pinecone soldierfish), 452 nucleotides long. RefSeq lists it as uncharacterized. The record is from RefSeq and is a predicted model, not a curated record. Lineage: Eukaryota; Metazoa; Chordata; Actinopteri; Holocentriformes; Holocentridae. The transcript is spliced from 3 exons.